This is a long non-coding RNA of Crotalus tigris (Tiger rattlesnake), 1819 nucleotides long. RefSeq lists it as uncharacterized. The transcript is spliced from 2 exons. Lineage: Eukaryota; Metazoa; Chordata; Lepidosauria; Squamata; Viperidae. The record is from RefSeq and is a predicted model, not a curated record.
ACACACAAUGUAAAAGAGUCACAAGUUCAGUACAGUCAGGAGUAUAAUUUUAAGGUUUUAUAACUGCAAUGUAAAUAUAUCAGUUGUUUUAAAUCAAAGAUGAAUUUAUUAAUGAGUGGAUACUGCAGCUUGGAUAUAUAUGUAUGUGUAUGGGCAUUUUGCUAUAACAAAGUGUCCUUGAACUAAGUUAUAAAAUCACAAAAAAUCUAUUUUCCUAUUGAAUUGGUAUAAGAAACAGUUCACUAUCUGUUCCCUUUGGAAUAAGCCACAAGUAUACUUUUUAAAAAGUAGGCUAUACAGUGGAAGUGUAGCAAAUAUCUUGACACUAGGUAUCACAUUUUAGAAAGAAAAUCUAAACAAAAACUUGCUGAAUGUUAUAUAACAUUGAAGGGCAAGAAGCAAUAUAAGGAAUCAAUAUAACCAUUACUGUUAUAGAACUGAAAGAAACUGAAAAUAGGAAGGUAUUUUUAAAAUGCUUAAUAAUUGCAAUUAAGUGAAUCAAUGUAUUCAUAAGAAUGUAUAUUGAUCAAGCGUGUUUUAAAAAAUGUAUUUAUAUUCAUGAAAACACUACAACAAUUAUUUUUUGGAAACUGUUAGAAUUAAAGUAUCCAGCUGCAUUAUACUUUGUGCUUAUGAUUUGUGUGAUGUGGAUUAAUGAACCUGAACAAAAUAAGACAAUAUAAUUCACUCUAUAAAAUGUAGCCAAAUGCUUACCGGAGAGGGAGCUAGAACAUUAAAGCUGAACAGAAAAAUGCAGGGCUAUAGUGCAGUAGAAGAAUUCUUGUAUCUUAUCUUUGUAACCCCCAGGUAUGAAAGAUUUCCAAAAUCUAGGAAAGUUGCUGCCAAUCACACAGUACACAAUGUAAAGCAAGUCUAUAUUAUUUAUUGGGGGUAGAAAUAGAGCAGAAUGCCUCAACUGAUUAUCUUUGUGUAUAGAUGUACACCUAAAACAAAGCCUUGAAACUGGUUAAUCUCAGAGGGAACAUUUACUGUGCUUUCAUGUUUCCUAUGUAAUAGAUAAGUAUGUGUAUAUGUAUGUAACGACAGUUUCGGAUCAAUGCAUGAAAAUAUUUUUUAACAAUUCUACCAUACUUAUGUUUCAGCAUCAUCCACAAAUUUUACAAAUGGCAGCAUGAGUCAUACUACAGCAUAAAAUGGAAGAGUUGAUGCCAGAUGUGAAGGAGUGUUCAGUUAAAAUACAUUGUUUAUUAUCUUUCCAAUUAUAAAUUGUAGGCUAGGAAGGAUGAAACAAAUAGCAAUUUUGUUUUCUAGUAUUUCUAUUUCUUUUAUGCAGUAAAGGGCAUGAGGAACUUGGCAUUAAAUAUUUCAAUAUUUUCAAAACAUGGGGUGCUAUUUUUUUCAAGACUAGAAUUUAUAAGAAACAUAUAUACUAACACUAGACUGUAAAUUGUAUUAUUUAGCCAUAAAUAAAUUAUUGUUGGUUAAACCUAGAAGGUAUCCUCACUGGCAACAUGGUAUUUUCCAGAAUUUUCUGCUCAUAAGAUUUGGAGAAGAUUUCCCAACAACUCUGAAGAGCUUGCAGGAUAUGAGAGCAAAAGAUCCAGUUGUCCCAAACAUAUCAACUGCCUAACAUAUGUUGUGGCCCAGAAUUUUGUAUUUUCAUAUGGAUCAUGAUGAUCCAUCUACUUUACAAAGUGAUGUUUUGGAACAUUUAAAGAUGGAUAAAAACUGUAUUUCUAUCAGAUUCACUCAGCCUAUGUUUCAUCUGUUGCACCAUCUGUGCUGUGUUAGCUUUUUUGUCUUCUCGCAGCCUUUUCCGUAAAGCCCUUAAAAAAAAUAAAAACUUUAGUCAGCUCUA